GCAGCCAUGCCGCGUGAAUGAUGAAGGUCUUAGGAUUGUAAAAUUCUUUCAGCGGGGACGAUAAUGACGGUACCCGGAGAAGAAGCCCCGGCUAACUUCGUGCCAGCAGCCGCGGUAAUACGAAGGGGGCUAGCGUUGCUCGGAAUUACUGGGCGUAAAGGGAGCGUAGGCGGAUAGUUUAGUCAGAGGUGAAAGCCCAGGGCUCAACCUUGGAAUUGCCUUUGAUACUGGCUAUCUUGAGUACGGAAGAGGUAUGUGGAACUCCGAGUGUAGAGGUGAAAUUCGUAGAUAUUCGGAAGAACACCAGUGGCGAAGGCGACAUACUGGUCCGUUACUGACGCUGAGGCUCGAAAGCGUGGGGAGCAAACAGGAUUAGAUACCCUGGUAGUCCACGCUGUAAACGAUGAGUGCUAGUUGUCGGCAUGCAUGCAUGUCGGUGACGCAGCUAACGCAUUAAGCACUCCGCCUG
RNAcentral lists this ribosomal RNA (469 nucleotides) under Caulobacter sp. Its description in RNAcentral is "bacterial SSU rRNA". It matches the Rfam family "Bacterial small subunit ribosomal RNA", at positions 388 to 875 of the family's 1533-position model. Lineage: Bacteria; Pseudomonadati; Pseudomonadota; Alphaproteobacteria; Caulobacterales; Caulobacteraceae. The record is from RNAcentral.